This is a long non-coding RNA of Protopterus annectens (West African lungfish), 1862 nucleotides long. RefSeq lists it as uncharacterized. The record is from RefSeq and is a predicted model, not a curated record. NCBI's taxonomy places the organism in Eukaryota, Metazoa, Chordata, Ceratodontiformes, Protopteridae. The transcript is spliced from 2 exons.
ACCCGAGAAUCGAACCGGAGAACCUCUUGCUGUGAAGCGACAACACAACUGCUGCACCACUUUGCCGUCCAUUUGCUGCAAAACACGUUUUUUUUUUUUUUUUUUUUUUCAGUUUUUGGGUGCAGUUCUCCUUUAAAACGUGGACACUUUGUCUUCAUCUGUCUCAAACUAGUGUUUCUUCAUUGUUUAUCUUUUUUUUUUUUUUUUUUCCAAUUUUUAUAAAAUGUGUAAACUCUAUAUACUCAGGGUGCUACGCAUUAGGUAAGGCCUGCAUAACGUCAUACUUUUCCUGCAGACUUGCUUUUAAACUGUGCCAGAUUUUAUAAACUGCUGUGCAGAUGUUUCAGUGUGCAAUCAGGCUACUGGUUUGGUAGGUAAAGUCACAGAUGCUUUAAUUGCAUUUCUUUUAGUAAAUUAUACAUUAAUCCUUUUCACUAUUUUGCAAGUCACAUCUCUGUGAGGAAUUGUGCUACAGCAUUGUGAUCGUGAGAUAUCUGAGUUUAAGAUUGGUUUAAUGUUGCUACUGAAAUUAAGACAUGCCAGACCAUACUGAAGUUUCAAGUUCUGUUUUGCAUACAGGUGCCUGCAGUUUUGGGUACAUCAAAACUGCUUGGUACUUUUUACAUUUUAUAUAGUCCACUGCUUAGUUAUUUUUACAUUUGGUCUUAUCUUGUUCUCAUUAUAAUUUGUGCUAUAUUUGUCUUCACCCCAGUUGAGAAUUGCAACUUUUUUUAUGCCACCAACAAAACCCUGCUGCAUUUCCAAUGAGGAAGCUAAGGCUUGCCAUCUCACCAAUACUGUCCAUGCCAUUGAUAAGGUCAGUAUUUCUCAUUAAAUGGGUAUGAAGGUGGCGGCAAGCUGUUUUGGUGGCUUUGCUGCCAGAAGGAAGAAUAUAUUCAAAAACAUGCAGUCUGUACUCAUUUAAAGACAAGGAAGCAUUUGCAACAAAAAUGAGGUGCACAAGCAUCCAUAAAGGUAGCAGCAAGGCCAGCAAGCGCUGACAACUUUACGCCUUUAACUGGGUCAAGAAAAGAAACGCAACAAUUCACAAUUAAUCUUUUUCAUGUCGUAACUCCAUCCCUUUGGAGAAAGUUUUAACGUUUAUUUUCUCUAUCAGAACACCAGGCAAAGUUGUAGUCUUUCUGAACCUAUACAGCUCAGAACUGUCUACUUGUAAGAAGUGUCCUUGACAUGAAUCUUUUCUGAAACAGCAGAUUAAAAAUGAGAAGGCUUUUAUUUUCCUGGAUGAGAUCAGAUUCCUGUUAAUUCGGUUUGCUGGCCAUUUUGAAGUAAUAACUCAGAAGCUGCCAGAAAAAUUUGUCCGUUUGGGUAGUUAUGUUGCAAAGCAGUACCAGAAUAGAAUGGAUUAUUUAACGGCAUCUUUCACUGCCUAUUUCAAAGGGUGUGCAUAUUUUGGUAUCACAUCAACUACUACUACUUUCGUCUGAACAAUAUACAGAGCUUCCAAAAAGCUGAUAAGAUGUGCCUGGUUUUGACUUGUCAAGCAUACAGAAUUACAGCACAGAAAGGAGGACAUCAGCACUGUUGAAUAUUGGGGCAUCGAACAAAUUGCACUGCCAGGUCUUGCAACUAUGUUGCAAAGCAUUACAUGUGGCUCUCAGUUUUGAAAGCAGAUAUAAACUGAACAUUUUCUGAGUAUGCUGGCCUUUUAAAAAGGCAGUAAAAAAAUCAUGUGGGAAGACAAUACUGCUGCUCAUGCUAAAAUUUAACAAGGAUUUCUAUGUUUGGUGCAUGGCAGUUGGUGUUUUGUAUUUUGUCACGUUCCUUAGAAAAUACUGUUAAUAUUUGUAAUUUGUAUGCUUUCUUCCUAGAGGAAUUAAAUUUUUUGUCUUUCUUGAAAA